AGGACGAACGCUGGCGGCGUGCUUAACACAUGCAAGUCGAGCGGAAAGACCCUUCGGGGUACUCGAGCGGCGAACGGGUGAGUAACACGUGAGUAACCUGCCCUAGGCUUUGGGAUAACCCUCGGAAACGGGGGCUAAUACCGGAUAUUCACUUCCUGCCGCAUGGUGGGUGGUGGAAAGUUUUUUCGGUCUGGGAUGGGCUCGCGGCCUAUCAGCUUGUUGGUGGGGUGAUGGCCUACCAAGGCGACGACGGGUAG
Molecule: ribosomal RNA, 257 nt
Filed under: uncultured bacterium
Lineage: Bacteria
Description: partial small subunit ribosomal RNA
Rfam family: Bacterial small subunit ribosomal RNA
Source: RNAcentral